This 297-nucleotide long non-coding RNA is filed under the name Coffea arabica (coffee). Its description in RNAcentral is "long non-coding RNA (CARA_LNC000071)". The record is from RNAcentral. Lineage: Eukaryota; Viridiplantae; Streptophyta; Magnoliopsida; Gentianales; Rubiaceae.
AGAAAAGGGGGAAGAAAGAAAAAUUCUCUCCUUGACUCACUCUCGGACUUCUCACUCUCGCUCUCUCUCGGCUAGAAUAGAAAAGAAUCAGACGAAAAAAUUCCCUCUCCCUCUACUCUUUGUCUCCCUCAAUUCACUCUCUCCCUCUCUGGACUUCCAGAGAGCAAAAGAAGCAUAAGAAGAUAAAAUUACAAGAGACCCCCUCAUUUGCUCCCUCUCUCAGGCCUCAGGUGCAGAAGGGCAAGGCCAAUAAAAACGGUUGAAGGCUCUGAAUUUCAUCAAAUUCUUAGGAAAAGG